RNAcentral lists this ribosomal RNA (422 nucleotides) under uncultured prokaryote. RNAcentral's name for it is "bacterial SSU rRNA". It matches the Rfam family "Bacterial small subunit ribosomal RNA", at positions 355 to 774 of the family's 1533-position model. The record is from RNAcentral.
UGAGGAAUAUUGGUCAAUGGGCGCAAGCCUGAACCAGCCAUCCCGCGUGCAGGAAGACGGCCCUAUGGGUUGUAAACUGCUUUUCCAGGGGGAGAAUUUUUCUGUCGUGACAGGAAUUGACGGUACCCUGGGAAUAAGCAUCGGCUAACUCCGUGCCAGCAGCGGCGGUACUACGGAGGAUGCGAGCGUUAUCCGGAUUUAUUGGGUUUAAAGGGUGCGUAGGCGGAUAGAUAAGUCAGUGGUGAAAACCUGCAGCUUAACUGUAUACUUGCCGUUGAGACUGUCAGUCUUGAGUAUGGUCAAGGUAGGCGGAAUUUGUAGUGUAGCGGUGAAAUGCUUAGAUAUUACACAGAACACCGAUUGCGAAGGCAGCUUGCUGGGCCAUUACUGACGCUGAUGCACGAAAGCGUGGGGAUCGAACA